UACGUAGGGUCCGAGCGUUGUCCGGAAUUACUGGGCGUAAAGGGCUCGUAGGUGGUUUGUCGCGUUGUUCGUGAAAACUCACAGCUUAACUGUGGGCGUGCGGGCGAUACGGGCAGACUAGAGUACUGCAGGGGAGACUGGAAUUCCUGGUGUAGCGGUGGAAUGCGCAGAUAUCAGGAGGAACACCGGUGGCGAAGGCGGGUCUCUGGGCAGUAACUGACGCUGAGGAGCGAAAGCGUGGGGAGCGAACAGG
This 253-nucleotide ribosomal RNA is filed under the name uncultured bacterium. RNAcentral's name for it is "partial 16S ribosomal RNA". It matches the Rfam family "Bacterial small subunit ribosomal RNA", at positions 524 to 776 of the family's 1533-position model. The record is from RNAcentral.